Molecule: transfer RNA, 86 nt
Filed under: Kiritimatiellia bacterium
Lineage: Bacteria; Pseudomonadati; Kiritimatiellota; Kiritimatiellia
Also listed under: 1 other name
Description: Kiritimatiellae bacterium (gut metagenome) tRNA-Tyr
Rfam family: tRNA
About the family: Transfer RNA (tRNA) molecules are approximately 80 nucleotides in length. Their secondary structure includes four short double-helical elements and three loops (D, anti-codon, and T loops). Further hydrogen bonds mediate the characteristic L-shaped molecular structure. tRNAs have two regions of fundamental functional importance: the anti-codon, which is responsible for specific mRNA codon recognition, and the 3' end, to which the tRNAs corresponding amino acid is attached (by aminoacyl-tRNA synthetases). tRNAs cope with the degeneracy of the genetic code in two manners: having more than one tRNA (with a specific anti-codon) for a particular amino acid; and 'wobble' base-pairing, i.e. permitting non-standard base-pairing at the 3rd anti-codon position.
Source: RNAcentral
UGUGGGAUACUCAAGCGGUCAACGAGGGCAGACUGUAAAUCUGCUGGCUAACGCCUUCAGUGGUUCGAAUCCACUUCCCACAACCA